UAAAAAAUUCUGAUUAAGGCCUCCUGCACACGACCGUUGUGUGCACCCGUGGCCGUUGUCCCGUUUAACGUGUUUUUCUGUGGUCCCAUUGACUUUCAAUGGGUCAGUGGAAAACUCGGCUACUGCACCGUUUUGUCACCCGCGCCCGUGACCCGUGUUUCCUGCCCGU
Molecule: long non-coding RNA, 169 nt
Organism: Bufo bufo (common toad)
Lineage: Eukaryota; Metazoa; Chordata; Amphibia; Anura; Bufonidae
Exons: 3
Source: RefSeq, a predicted model, not a curated record